AGCGAUAGAAAUGAAUUAUUUAACCUCUGGUUUACAAGACCAGUGCUCUAUUUAUUUGAGCUACAAUCGC
RNAcentral lists this transfer RNA (70 nucleotides) under Maoricolpus roseus. RNAcentral's name for it is "tRNA-Thr". Lineage: Eukaryota; Metazoa; Mollusca; Gastropoda; Turritellidae. The record is from RNAcentral.